UACGGGGGGGGCAAGCGUUGUUCGGAAUUACUGGGCGUAAAGGGCUCGUAGGCGGCCAACUAAGUCAUACGUGAAAUCCCUCGGCUUAACCGGGGAACUGCGUCUGAUACUGGAUGGCUUGAGAUUGGGAGAGGGAUGCGGAAUUCCAGGUGUAGCGGUGAAAUGCGUAGAUAUCGGGAGGAACACCAGUAGCGAAGGCGGCUCGCUGGGCCGUUCCUGACGCUGAGACGCGAAAGCUAGGGGAGCGAACAGG
Molecule: ribosomal RNA, 253 nt
Filed under: uncultured bacterium
Lineage: Bacteria
Description: partial 16S ribosomal RNA
Rfam family: Bacterial small subunit ribosomal RNA
Source: RNAcentral